This 230-nucleotide long non-coding RNA is filed under the name Capsicum annuum. RNAcentral describes it as "long non-coding RNA (CANN_LNC003538)". Lineage: Eukaryota; Viridiplantae; Streptophyta; Magnoliopsida; Solanales; Solanaceae. The record is from RNAcentral.
CACAUGAUACAAAUAGAUCGCAGUCUAUUAGGGAUAGCCAUGUUCAAGUCCAGUUAUGUUAGGUUUAAUCUGGUGGAAUCGGGUAUCUAGACUGUCAAUUAAAACGAGCGGACCGCUCGAGUUGGCAAGGGACAGCUUUACCGGUAGCAGGGCUUUCCGGCCUCACUGUUGGUCCCUUUCCGUCCUAAGUCAUGGGUGACUACAGAAUCCUUCCCAGGAGCGUUGCCGCA